GCGUAAAGCGCACGCAGGCGGUCUGUCAAGUCGGAUGUGAAAUCCCCGGGCUCAACCUGGGAACUGCAUUCGAAACUGGCAGGCUUGAGUCUUGUAGAGGGGGGUAGAAUUCCAGGUGUAGCGGUGAAAUGCGUAGAGAUCUGGAGGAAUACCGGUGGCGAAGGCGGCCCCCUGGACAAAGACUGACGCUCAGGUGCGAAAGCGUGGGGAGCAAACAGGAUUAGAUACCCUGGUAGUCCACGCCGUAAACGAUGUCUACUUGGAGGUUGUGCCCUUGAGGCGUGGCUUCCGGAGCUAACGCGUUAAGUAGACCGCCUGGGGAGUACGGCCGCAAGGUUAAAACUCAAAUGAAUUGACGGGGGCCCGCACAAGCGGUGGAGCAUGUGGUUUAAUUCGAUGCAACGCGAAGAACCUUACCUGGUCUUGACAUCCACGGAAGUUUUCAGAGAUGAGAAUGUGCCUUCG
Molecule: ribosomal RNA, 465 nt
Filed under: Salmonella enterica subsp. enterica serovar Adabraka
Lineage: Bacteria; Pseudomonadati; Pseudomonadota; Gammaproteobacteria; Enterobacterales; Enterobacteriaceae
Description: bacterial SSU rRNA
Rfam family: Bacterial small subunit ribosomal RNA
Source: RNAcentral